RNAcentral lists this transfer RNA (74 nucleotides) under Lachnospiraceae bacterium. RNAcentral's name for it is "tRNA-Arg". It matches the Rfam family "tRNA". Rfam says of the family: Transfer RNA (tRNA) molecules are approximately 80 nucleotides in length. Their secondary structure includes four short double-helical elements and three loops (D, anti-codon, and T loops). Lineage: Bacteria; Bacillati; Bacillota; Clostridia; Lachnospirales; Lachnospiraceae. The record is from RNAcentral.
GUGCUCGUAGCUCAGCAGGAUAGAGCAACGGCCUUCUAAGCCGUAGGUCGGGGGUUCGAAUCCCUCCGGGCACG